CGAAUAGAGCUGACGUAAUUUGCUUGUGUUCAGCUGUUGAUUGGCUUGUCCGCUGGCUGGUGCUGGUUUGAGGAUUUCGGUCUUUGAGUCGUGUGCUGGCUGGUUGGUAUAGGUCUUUUGGCGGUGCAUUCACGAGCAUGUAUGCGUUGAGACGCAUGCGGUGGACGCUUUGACGAGUGUGGACGAGGAUACUUGAUUUUGGUAUAACCGGUCGUGCUCUGAAGGUGUUUCGUCGUGUGUGUAAAAUGAUUGGCUUGGUUGCCGUAGUAGUUGUGUUUUUGGAUUAUGGCGGUCGCUUGCGACACGUGUAGUUUGAGGAUAUGAUUGCUGCUGUGCCUGUCGGUUACUUUCAAUGUAAAAGUCGGUCAUCUAUUCGACCCGUCUUGAAACACGGACCAAGGAGUUUAACGUAUACGCAAGUGAUUGGGUGUUAAAACCUAAACGCGCAUUGAAAGAGAAUCCGUCUUCGAGAUGGUGAUAUGCGAUCCGUUGUACUUCGGUGCAGCGGCGUAGCAUAGCCCCAUUCCUGUUGCUUGCAACGGAGUGGAGGUAGAGCGUAUACGUUGAGACCCGAAAGAUGGUGAACUAUGCCUGAGCAGGACGAAGCUAGAGGAAACUCUGGUGGAAGUCCGAAUCGGUUCUGACGUGCAAAUCGAUCGUCUGACUUGGGUAUAGGGGCGAAAGACUAAUCGAACCAUCUAGUAGUGG
This 708-nucleotide ribosomal RNA is filed under the name Hexatylus viviparus. RNAcentral's name for it is "partial large subunit ribosomal RNA". It matches the Rfam family "Eukaryotic large subunit ribosomal RNA", at positions 420 to 953 of the family's 3401-position model. Lineage: Eukaryota; Metazoa; Nematoda; Chromadorea; Rhabditida; Neotylenchidae. The record is from RNAcentral.